CACCACAAUAGAGUAGUAACAACUAUCAGAGGGGUAAGCUGUGUUAAUCUGUAUCCACAAAAACAAUAAGGAGUCCAGUGGCAUCUUAAAGACUAAUAGGUUUAUCUGGGC
Non-coding RNA from Chelonoidis abingdonii (Abingdon island giant tortoise), 111 nucleotides. Lineage: Eukaryota; Metazoa; Chordata; Testudines; Testudinidae. The record is from RefSeq and is a predicted model, not a curated record.